Molecule: non-coding RNA, 223 nt
Organism: Pelobates cultripes (western spadefoot toad)
Lineage: Eukaryota; Metazoa; Chordata; Amphibia; Anura; Pelobatidae
Source: the annotation of a GenBank genome assembly
UGUAACGGCACCCCCAGGCAUAAAAGGGUUAAACCGCCUUUUAGUAGAUCUUCCCUUCCAGAGACACAAGCACAGCUACUGCAGAACACCAAUCCGCCGAACAGGAAACCAUAUGAAUGCUGUAAACAGCCGAAUAGGAAAAACCAUACGAAUAGGUUUACACUCCUAGCAGUCAAACUGUAACAGCAUUCAAUAAAUCCCCCCAAGAACGAGACAAAGCUCC